Molecule: non-coding RNA, 243 nt
Organism: Pelobates cultripes (western spadefoot toad)
Lineage: Eukaryota; Metazoa; Chordata; Amphibia; Anura; Pelobatidae
Source: the annotation of a GenBank genome assembly
CACACAUGCAUAUAUACAGACAUACUGACAUCCCUACACACAGACAUUCAUUGAUACUGACAUACACACAUACAUUCAUAAUGACAUACAUACAGAAACACAAACAUACAUACUGACAGACAUACAUACACAGAGACAUACUGACAUACAUACAUACAGACACUAACAUCCAUACACACAUUCAUAAUGGUAUACAGACAUACAAUCAUACAUGCAUACAUUCAUACAUGCAUACAGACACUG